This 937-nucleotide ribosomal RNA is filed under the name Cortinarius vernus. Its description in RNAcentral is "partial large subunit ribosomal RNA". It matches the Rfam family "Eukaryotic large subunit ribosomal RNA", at positions 42 to 962 of the family's 3401-position model. The record is from RNAcentral. Lineage: Eukaryota; Fungi; Basidiomycota; Agaricomycetes; Agaricales; Cortinariaceae.
AUCAAUAAGCGGAGGAAAAGAAACUAACAAGGAUUCCCCUAGUAACUGCGAGUGAAGCGGGAAAAGCUCAAAUUUAAAAUCUGGCGGUCUUUUGGCUGUCCGAGUUGUAAUCUAGAGAAGUGUUAUCCGCGCUGGACCGUGUACAAGUCUCCUGGAAUGGAGCAUCAUAGAGGGUGAGAAUCCCGUCUUUGACAUGGACUGCCAGGGCUUUGUGAUGCGCUCUCGAAGAGUCGAGUUGUUUGGGAAUGCAGCUCAAAAUGGGUGGUAAAUUCCAUCUAAAGCUAAAUAUUGGCGAGAGACCGAUAGCGAACAAGUACCGUGAGGGAAAGAUGAAAAGAACUUUGGAAAGAGAGUUAAACAGUACGUGAAAUUGCUGAAAGGGAAACGCUUGAAGUCAGUCGCGUCAUCCAGGGAUCAACCUUGCUUUUGCUUGGUGCACUUCCUGGUUUGAUGGGUCAGCAUCAAUUUUGACCGUUGGAAAAAGGCUGAGGGAAUGUGGCAUCUUUGGAUGUGUUAUAGCCCUCUGUCACAUACAAUGGUUGGGAUUGAGGAACUCAGCACGCCGCAAGGCCGGGUUUUAAACCACGUACGUGCUUAGGAUGCUGGCAAUAUGGCUUUAAUCGACCCGUCUUGAAACACGGACCAAGGAGUCUAACAUGCCUGCGAGUGUUUGGGUGGAAAACCCGAGCGCGUAAUGAAAGUGAAAAGUUGAGAUCCCUGUCGUGGGGAGCAUCGACGCCCGGACCAGACCUUUUGUGACGGUUCCGCGGUAGAGCAUGUAUGUUGGGACCCGAAAGAUGGUGAACUAUGCCUGAAUAGGGUGAAUCCAGAGGAAACUCUGGUGGAGGCUCGUAGCGAUUCUGACGUGCAAAUCGAUCGUCAAAUUUGGGUAUAGGGGCGAAAGACUAAUCGAACCAUCUAGUAGCUGGUUCCUGCC